GAAAUAGCUAUGAUCUAAUAACAUUAAUUGACUCUCGUUGAACUCGUAAAUGGUUGAUUGCAUUAGAUCAUUCCAAUCAUGAAUUCUGCAUCUUAUAAAUCAUAUUUGUGUCUAAAGGAUCUACAAAUAAAAAUAAUAAGAACGUCACGAUGAUACUUACGGUGCUAAGGACGAAGGAGGAUAAACUAGUUCGCCCGAGACGAGCGUAUCAAUUUGCAACAAAGGUAUCCGAUUGUACUCUAAUAUCUUUAAGGAAAUGAAGUCAUACUUUAUCGAAUAAAUAGCUUUUUUUGAAAGUA
Molecule: long non-coding RNA, 299 nt
Organism: Bombus terrestris (buff-tailed bumblebee)
Lineage: Eukaryota; Metazoa; Arthropoda; Insecta; Hymenoptera; Apidae
Exons: 2
Source: RefSeq, a predicted model, not a curated record